GAAAAGUACAUUGCAAGAAGAAGAGGAAGAAGAAGAAGAAGGAGAGUUGAAGAAGAGUAAGAAGAACUGAAGAAGAAGAGUACAUUAAACAAACAUGGAUGCCCUUGAUGAGGAAGAGGAGACUAUAAUUUUACUUCUGUUGCAGCUGCAAAGGGAAAAGAAGCGUCGCCAUCGGAGGCGGUACUUGCGGCCCCUCAACCACAGCCGUCGAGAGAACGGGGAAUUUGUUUCCCAUGGUUUUACCGAUGCGCUUAAUUGACAAGGAGAAACACUGGGAGUAUUUCCGCAUGUCAGUCAGUGCUUUCAACGAUCUACUAUCACUGAUUGAACCCCAUAUCCAACACUGCCACACACACACUGAGCCAAUAACAUCAGCCGAGGGACUUGUUGUCACCCUCCGUUUCCUUGCCUCUGGAAUGAGCUUCAGAGAAUUGUCUGCCAGCUACAAAAUGGGCUCUGCAACCGUCGGAAAGAUUGAGUCUGCAAGGCAAUAUGGACUGCUCUGAAAGAUGUCUCUGUGGCAUACCCAGGUGAUGAGCAAUGGAGACAGAUCCAGGAGGAUUUCCUUGGCAUGUGGCAGUUUCCUAAUUGUGUGGGGGCGACAGACGGAAAGCACGUCCGAAUCUGUGCCCCCGUCAACAGUGGAAGUGCCUUUUAUAACUAUAAAGAGUACUUCAGCUUCAUCCUGAUGGCAGUCUGUGAUGCCCGUUACUGGUUCACCAUUGUGGACAUUGGUGCCUUUGGUAGAGACUGAUGCUGGCGUGUUCUCCAGAAGUGGCUUUGGCUCGCAACUCCUUCAGGGCAAGCUGUCUUUGCCACCUCCAGCUGUUUAACCUGGGAGUGAGGUACUCUGCUCCCCUGUCUUUGUUGCUGAUGAGGCUUUCCCUUUAAAAGUCAACUUGAUGCGACCAUAUUCAGGCACAAAUCUCUCUGCUGAGCAGCGGACAUAUAACUACCGUCAUUCCAGAGCCAGGAGGUUGGUAGAAAAUGCCUUUGGCAUUCUUGCCGCAAGGUGGAGGGUUUUUGGAGAGGCCAUGGAGUGCGCCCUGGAGACAGCAGAAGAUGUCAGUAAAGCCAUAUGUGGCUCUUCAUAACUUUCUGUGCUCAUCUUCCCAGGCCGAACGGGCAAGGUAUGUCUAGGGAUGUAAUGAUUACCGGUAAAAUGACAAACCGCGAUAAAAUUCCCUAUAGUAUUACCAUUUCAAAUGUGAAUUAUCAUUAAAAUCGUGAGAAAAGGGGUGGCAGCGCUGGGUGGAUCUUCAAAUAAAAUCAGUAAAACAGGUGCUCUUUGGUGAGGGUGCAAAGCAGCUUCAAAAAAUGUAUCAAGUUGAAUCCUUGCACAUACCAAAAAAGGAAGCAGUCAAAGUUAAAUGCAGGACAAAAACUUGAAAAACCAAGGGUUUAUCAUCAGGGUUGAUGAAGGCUCAUUUGAGGAGCUGAAACGUGUUGGUCCCUGUUUUUAACUUUGUACCAACCAUGCCACAAUAAAGGCUUUUUAACUUUUUUCUAAAACAGAGCUGCCUUUGUUUUUCAAGUUUUUGUCCCGCAUUUAAAUCUUCCUUUUUUGGUAUGUGCAAGGAUUCAACUUGAUACAUUUUUUGAACCAUUAAAAUCGUGUUUGAUCACGGCACUUAAAAAAAAAAAAAAAUCAUGGUACUGCUUAUUGCUCAUUUUAUUUAUAUUUUAUUUAUUUAUGUUAUUAUUUUAAUGUUUCUUCCAACAGAAAGUAUGUUGUGCUUGUUAUUUUAUUUGUGUUUUUCGAAAUAAAACUUUGACGAAAUGAUUUCAGAUGAUAAUAAUAAUAUUAUAAUAUAUAAAUAUAAUAAUGAUUUAUACUGUGUAUAAUUUUGGUCACAAUAACCGUGAUAUGAAUUUUUCAUACCGUUACAUCUCUAGGUAUGUCCCUGGCAACUUCACUGGAUGCAGCUCCAUUGCAUUUCUUUUGCCCCAUGGCUUGAUCUUGCUCUGUCGCAGUUUGAACAUCCGCUGGAAGUGUUUCAGAAGUUCAGUGUCUUCAAGUUUAUUUCUCAGCAGCAGCAUUUCCAAUAUUGUUCCAAGUUUUUUCAGUUUUUUUGUGUGUUUCACAGCAGAUUGCAAACAGGUUUGAUCGAUGUGGUAACAGAACAUUUGUGGCUGUACUUGACUCAUUUUAAUGACUAUAUGCAGUAACUGUCUUACCUGAACCCAAACUGUAGCAUUCCUUCUCCUGCGUCACAGACUUGGGAGGAGAAGUGAAAUAAACAAACAUGGAACAGUAGUUUUACUGUAUGUAAGCUACAUAUUACUGCAUCUUGCUAACUCGGCCAUUCUGGAUGUCACUAACUCGGCUUCUUCUCCGGAGCCUUUGUGCUCCACUGUCUCUCAGAUUAACUCAUAUCGCAGCGGUGCCU
Non-coding RNA from Epinephelus lanceolatus (giant grouper), 2390 nucleotides. The record is from RefSeq and is a predicted model, not a curated record. Lineage: Eukaryota; Metazoa; Chordata; Actinopteri; Perciformes; Serranidae.